This 552-nucleotide ribosomal RNA is filed under the name Hylotrupes bajulus (European house borer). RNAcentral describes it as "partial 16S ribosomal RNA". It matches the Rfam family "Bacterial large subunit ribosomal RNA", at positions 1796 to 2620 of the family's 2925-position model. Lineage: Eukaryota; Metazoa; Arthropoda; Insecta; Coleoptera; Cerambycidae. The record is from RNAcentral.
UCGCCUGUUUAACAAAAACAUGGCCUUUUGAUUAUAAUUUAAGGUUUAGCCUGCCCACUGAAAUUUUAAAUGGCCGCGGUAUUUUGACCGUGCAAAGGUAGCAUAAUAAUUAGUUUUUUAAUUGGAAGCUGGAAUGAAUGGUUGGAUGAGAAAAUAACUGUCUCUUUUUAAUUUUAAAUAUAAUUUUAUUUUUAAGUAAGAAAGCUUAAAUUUUAUUAAAAGACGAGAAGACCCUAUAGAGUUUUAUAUAUUAAUUUAUUUAAUUAUUUUAGAAUUUUUAAUUUGAAUAAAAGAAUUUAUUUAGUUGGGGUGAUUGAAAAAUUAAUAAAACUUUUUCAUAAAUUUUACAUUGAUAUAUGAUUUUUUGAUCCAUUUUUUUUGAUUAUUAGAUUAAAUUACCUUAGGGAUAACAGCGUAAUUCUUUUUGAGAGUUCUAAUUGAUAGAAGGGAUUGCGACCUCGAUGUUGGAUUAAAAUAAAAAUCUGGUGCAGAAGCUAGAAAUUUAGGUCUGUUCGACCUUUAAAAUUUUACGUGAUCUGAGUUCAGACCGGA